UAUAUAGUCCGGCUGGAAUACUAUCGAUGGCAUCAAACAUUUGAUGCUACCGAAUUUUCUACCGUUAAUUUUAACCCUUUAACUAUUUUCACUAAUUAGAUUAUACUAUUCAAUCAACAACUUACUCAACUCUAGAGAACCCAUAUCAUCCUAAUCAUACAUUCUUUCAUCCAAGAGUCGAAAACCUAAUAGCACCGACAGCUUGGUGCUAUUAGUAGUAUUCCACCUAGUUUUAUAUAUAUAUAUAUAUAUAUAUAUAUAUAUAUAAUAGUUGAGCUGGAAUAUUAUUAGUAGCAAAUUAGCUAUAUUGCCACUCAUUUAUUUUUUAAGAUGGAGUUUUCAAAUCGACGAUCGAUAUUGUUGAAUAUGAUUUAUACCACGUGAGACAUCAAGAAAUAAUUUUUUUUUUUUUUUUUUAUAUAUAUCAUUAGCCUAAUGAUCAAAGAAUUUUAAAAUUUGUAAUUUUUAAUGGUGAAUAUUAGAUAUUUUUUCAUUUAGCGGCGUAAAGAUAUCAAAAUCAAUUAAAUUUUGGUUAAUUUUUUUAAAACUAUUUAAAACAAGAUCUAUACUUUUUAUUUUGAUUACAAGACCCCCAUCAUCACUUUUUAAAGAAUAUUUGUUUUCAACCAAUCAUUUUUAUGUCCACUUGAUGGAAAGAGAACAAUAUCGAAAAAAAUAUAAAAUUUGAUUUCUAAAUUUUCAAGUGGUAUAGAUCAUAUUUAGUAAUGUCGAUCGUCGAUUUGGAGGCUCCAUCAUGAAAAAUAAAUAGGUGACAACGGAAUUUAUUUACUAUUGAUAGCAUUCCAGCUCAACUCUCUCUCUCUCUCUCUCUCUCUCUCUCUCUCUAUAUUAUACAAGUCUUCUAGAUGAAUUAGACCACACCAAAAA
RNAcentral lists this long non-coding RNA (888 nucleotides) under Ananas comosus (pineapple). RNAcentral's name for it is "long non-coding RNA (ACOM_LNC019141)". Lineage: Eukaryota; Viridiplantae; Streptophyta; Magnoliopsida; Poales; Bromeliaceae. The record is from RNAcentral.